This 807-nucleotide small RNA is filed under the name Arabidopsis thaliana (thale cress). RNAcentral's name for it is "ATSL096400". Lineage: Eukaryota; Viridiplantae; Streptophyta; Magnoliopsida; Brassicales; Brassicaceae. The record is from RNAcentral.
GUUUGAGUUUUAUGAGUUAAAGUUGUUAAUUAAUUACAUAAUUGUAUGAACUUUGUUUAUGACAUCACCCUUAAAUUAAUAUCUAAUAUUGAAACAACUUUAAUAUUUCUAGGAAUUCCACUUAUUUUGCAUUUAGCAUGAAAGUACUUAUGACACCAAGAUAUUCUUACGUGUAGUAAUUUCAAUAUAGUAAAAAAGGUGUAAAUUAUAUUGCACAUAAACAAACAGUUCAUUUAAUAAAUUUACGCGAGUUUAUACCAGAGAUUUGAUAGUAAUGUGUAGGAUGAGAAAUAAUUUAUUCUUGCAAUGUAUAAACAAAAUAACAAUUUGGGAUGACAAUUUUUAGUAGAUCUUUAAUAACUGCAAUACCUUAAAAAAUACAUUCGGUUGUAACUAUCGAAUGUCUGUUUUCAUUUCUCUAUUGUUGCAGCCUUGACUGAACAAUUGCAUGCAGAAAUUGAGAGGCUAAAAGCAAUAACAAUUUUGAACGAAAAAGAGAGUGUAGAAUUUCAAAGACUGAAGAUGGAAACAUGUGAAGUAUUGCAGUACCGUUGCGAGUUCGACAGAUCAAACAUGCAAGGAAUGGACCCAAACUUGUUCACCUUGUCUCAGCCAAACCUUGGUUUUUAUGGACAGAUUUAAGGAAGCUGUGGUGACUUUGGCAAUUCAAUGGGAUCAAAGAUUGAAGUUAUAGGUCUAUAAAAUGUUUCAGUUUAUAUAAUUUAUGUUCAUGCCGAGAGUAAAAAUGAUAGUAACUGUGUGAGGCUUCCUACUUUUCCUUUUUAGCUGUGUUUUUCUUAAUCACUU